CCUACGGGAGGCAGCAGUAGGGAAUCUUCCACAAUGGGCGCAAGCCUGAUGGAGCAACACCGCGUGAGUGAAGAAGGGUUUCGGCUCGUAAAGCUCUGUUGUUGGAGAAGAACGUGCGUGAGAGUAACUGUUCACGCAGUGACGGUAUCCAACCAGAAAGUCACGGCUAACUACGUGCCAGCAGCCGCGGUAAUACGUAGGUGGCAAGCGUUAUCCGGAUUUAUUGGGCGUAAAGCGAGCGCAGGCGGUUGCUUAGGUCUGAUGUGAAAGCCUUCGGCUUAACCGAAGAAGGGCAUCGGAAACCGGGCGACUUGAGUGCAGAAGAGGACAGUGGAACUCCAUGUGUAGCGGUGGAAUGCGUAGAUAUAUGGAAGAACACCAGUGGCGAAGGCGGCUGUCUGGUCUGCAACUGACGCUGAGGCUCGAAAGCAUGGGUAGCGAACAGGAUUAGAUACCCCAGUAGUC
This 465-nucleotide ribosomal RNA is filed under the name uncultured Lactobacillus sp. RNAcentral's name for it is "bacterial SSU rRNA". It matches the Rfam family "Bacterial small subunit ribosomal RNA", at positions 338 to 795 of the family's 1533-position model. The record is from RNAcentral. Lineage: Bacteria; Bacillati; Bacillota; Bacilli; Lactobacillales; Lactobacillaceae.